UCAGUCCAAUUACAAGAACAGAGGCUGCUCUUUUCCAGCUGUUUUCCGGCGCCGGUGGUGGGAUGGGCCAACCUUCUCCUUCGCUACUUAGCUCCGGCUAUGAAGCAGUCACAAAAUACAUUGGUUUCACCAAAUCCAUCGUUUUCAUCUUAGGGCUCAUACGGAGCUACAAGAUGUCGGAGAAGAAAUUUCUCAACAUCCUAAUCACGCGCCUCACCAUUGUGUCGGAGAUGUAUGACCUCCGAUGUUCGGUGGUAGUCAUGAAUUUGCACCAAGGAAUAAGCGGUGUUUUCGUAUUGGUGUUCGCUAAAAUAGCCUAUGGUUUUCCGGGUCUCUUCUGUACGGUGAUACCGCAAGUAGCUUUUGUCAAAUUAAAAGAUAUGUUAGCACUCUUAAGCUUUCACAAUUCACGCACUACUUGUUAAAUACUCUGCAAUUAAGAGUUCUAUUUAUUUAUUCCACGUGUUUUAAGAAACAUGAGUUGAAACUCAUGAGUUAGUGUAUGUGUCUUACUUAUAUAUAUUAGUUUUAUAAUAAAAUGUGAUUGGAAUAAACUAGUGGAAUGUGGGGUAUACUUACCAUUUAUGGUUAAAGUGAAGUAUGACUCU
Long non-coding RNA from Salvia splendens (bonfire salvia), 608 nucleotides. RefSeq lists it as uncharacterized. The record is from RefSeq and is a predicted model, not a curated record. Lineage: Eukaryota; Viridiplantae; Streptophyta; Magnoliopsida; Lamiales; Lamiaceae. The transcript is spliced from 2 exons.